GGUGUGAUUGUUCAUUAACAAAAAAUGAUCAUAUGUAAAGUAUAUACUUUGCCCUUGUGUCACUCAACCAAUCACCUUGGGGAAGGUCUGAGACAAGAGCCAAUCACUGCCCUAGCAGGGUGUCACCUGACCUGGGUGAGUGAGUGCACAGAGAAUAUGGGCCAUUGUGAGUUGUCUUUACAGGAGAAACCAGCCAGAGCAGCUCUCCAGCACUACUGGUUGAUGUGACCUCACUGGCUUGGAAACACUCAUGGCUGGCAUAUGAGUGCAAUGUGUGAGUUGGAGUACACCUCCAGAACCCAAUUCAGACUACUCUCUGCC
This is a ribozyme of Oncorhynchus mykiss (rainbow trout), 321 nucleotides long. It matches the Rfam family "Nuclear RNase P". Rfam says of the family: Ribonuclease P (RNase P) is a ubiquitous endoribonuclease, found in archaea, bacteria and eukarya as well as chloroplasts and mitochondria. Its best characterised activity is the generation of mature 5'-ends of tRNAs by cleaving the 5'-leader elements of precursor-tRNAs. Cellular RNase Ps are ribonucleoproteins. Lineage: Eukaryota; Metazoa; Chordata; Actinopteri; Salmoniformes; Salmonidae. The record is from Ensembl.